GUGGUUGAUGAUCAUUUGUGCUUUUAUUUCUUUUGUUUUGUUCUUUUUUGUUUUGGCAUCUGUCCAUCCAGUCGAACCGAGCUGCCCGACACACCUCUGGAUCUGCUGCAGCUACCAGAGAGCAUAAGAGUGGAGCGGCUUCGAGUUAGCUCGUCCCCCACCGACUCCUCCCCACAGGCUCAAGGCCAACAGCCAGCGAAGAGCUCUGUAGGGAAGAGUGACCCAGACACUAAAGGCAGAGAGAAAUUCAGCAUCCCCGCCAUCCAAUCAGAGGACAGGAGGAAGCGCGUGCUGAGGUCUGACCCUGAGGGAGCCCCUCCUGAGAGCCGCCGCCGACUGGAGGAGCUCCGGCGCACAGAAGAGGCCGUAUCAGCCUCCUCAGAUCUGGCGAGUGAAAGCGAGGGGGAUGAGGAGGACGAGACGGAGUGGGACGAAGGGGGAGACAGCGACAGAUUAAAGCAAGAAGACAGUGGGGGAGGAGGUAAACAGAGCAGAGGAGACACCCCAACUAGAGGGGAGAGAGUAGGGAGGGUGUACAACGGCCGAGCUGUGAUCCAGCAGCUGAAGACGGCGGCGACCCCGUCUUCGCUACCUGGCAGUCCCAACAUCAAAACCGAACACGAAGCCCUGGCCACUGGAGGGCGGUGGGGGUCCCAAACGCAAACCUCCAACCCGCACACACACAACUCCCAGCCCCCAUCUCACACACCUUCCAGCAGCCUGAACGGCGACAGCCCCACCACCCCGAUCCCAGACUCCUCCUCCAGUAGUGAAGCCCCACCCAAAGGCUUGUUCACCCCUCCCUCUCCUGCUCUGUCCCCGACCAUGCCCGUGUCCUCCCCGCAGCCCAGAGAGGACAGGGUGGUCAGUCGCAGCAGCGGUGUAGGCAACGGCCCCGACUUUGAGCUACUUCAGAGACUGGCAGGCGGUGCAGCAGGGCGGGUCCUCUUCCACCCCCUCGCCCUCGGCCCGCAGGGCCCUCAGAGCCUGUACGCCCCGAGCACUAUCCGAUACGCUCCGCCGGAACUGCCUCCCUCCCACCAUCACAGCACGGGCCACGGUGACGGCCUGCAGCUACGAUCAGACCACCACAAGGGACCCCCACCUACCUUCUUCCCCCACCUGCAGCGGCUGGCCGGCCUACCACCCUUCAGUGGUUUCUCCCCGUCUGACAGCCCCUUCUCCUCCGGCCUGCCUUUCUGUAUGAACGGACUGAGGGGGGCUGCGGGCACGGAGGAGGACUGA
This 1245-nucleotide long non-coding RNA is filed under the name Nothobranchius furzeri (turquoise killifish). Its description in RNAcentral is "lncRNA (ENSNFUG00015010788.1)". Lineage: Eukaryota; Metazoa; Chordata; Actinopteri; Cyprinodontiformes; Nothobranchiidae. The record is from RNAcentral.